Molecule: non-coding RNA, 328 nt
Organism: Ixodes scapularis (black-legged tick)
Lineage: Eukaryota; Metazoa; Arthropoda; Arachnida; Ixodida; Ixodidae
Source: Rfam
UUCCUGUGGAAAGCCUCAGCUGCGCGGCGUCUGAGGGCUUCGUGCCCAAAGUGCUAUGCUUCGGCCGGCAAAAAACAGUCAACUCAGAACUGGCACGGACCGGGGGAAUCCGACUGUCUAAUUAAAACAAAGCAUUGCGAUGGCCGCUGGUCGGUGUUGACGCAAUGUGAUUUCUGCCCAGUGCUCUGAAUGUCAACGUGAAGAGAUUCAUCAAAGCGCGGGUAAACGGCGGGAGUAACUAUGACUCUCUUGAGAGGCGAAAAGAGAGGCACAGCUGACUCGGGCUGGCCAAUCGGCCAAUAUGAAUCAGAAACUGCGAGACAGUGUC